CUCUGGCUGGCUGCCACUCCUCCCAGCAGAUCUGUGCCUGUGGUAGUGGUGUAUGUUGUCGGUUGAGUCCGGCCCCCUCUCUCUCCUCAGAUGGAGGAGUGAAGCUCACUGACACACAUACAGACGCAACAAGCCACAGGCAGGCACGCUACCAGACAGACCGGCAGACAGGUAAGCAGGAGGCAGGCACCAUGACGCAAACAGGGGACAGACUCAGCUCUGUGACAACAGAUGCCUCCCACAGAACUGAACACUGAAGUUUACUUUGAGAGCCUCAGUGGAGCUGGAAUAAGCAGAAAAUAAGACAAAUAACAAGACGGGAUGAGGAGUUCUUGACUGCUGUUUUUUAUGCUGAGGAGGUGGGGGUAUUUUACACACUUUUUCUGUAGUUGCUGAACCUGUGGAAUUACAUCUAUGAGUCAGGGGAGGACUAAAGCCAGCAUGGUAUUCAGCUGGCAGAAGUCCUUUGCCAUCCUGAACCCCUGGAGGAAAGGGAAGGGGGACAAUGUGCUGGAUAAUGAGGUUGUCUUGACCAAGAUGAAGCUCUUCAACAACUUCCAUGAGAAGCUCCUCAACAACACUGAUGAUUCUUCAUCCACUAUCUCCAUGUCAGUAUCUGAGCAGGACAUCUCAGAGCCUGUCAAAGGCUUGAAGGGGAAUGCUGAUCUGGAUAACAUGCCUGGAAAGCCCCUGAUGGAGUCAAACUCAGGCUACCUCUCUGACAUUUUCUCAGACUCUCAGCUUCCCAUGCUGUACAAGUUUGAGUCGGAGGACUCUGGAGUGGAACUGCCCAGUGGAACCAACUCUCCCUCCACACCCACCGGCUCAGAGCAGAGCUUUGUGGUCCACAGCCGGGAACCCUCCUAUGACUCCUGUAACCUCAAUACUCCUGUCCCUACCCCAGGUCCACUCCUCACCAUUGAACAGUGCUCUGACACCAAACAAACAGAGGAUAUAAGAGACACACCAUGUACGACUGUAGACAAUGCUGUGCUGGAGUGUAAUACUGUGGAGUUGGGGGCUGAACUCAACACAGGGGUUGAGAGGGUAGACCUUCAUAUAACUGAGAAGGACAUACAUAUGGAGAGGGCCCAACACAGGGCCUUGAAGGACACUGCUGAGGACAGUGACAGGGUUUCAGAGGAGCUGGGUGAGAACAGGGCUGUGACUGACGGGAUCAACUCAGCGAACACAAGGUCCAAGAGCCAGUGCUCUACAGGGGCCUGUGAUGAUAUGACAGGAGUUAACUUUGAGCAGCGGCCUCUGAGGAAAAGCACGACGAGCGACAGCCUAGAGGAGUAUAUGGAGGAAUGCUGUCGACUGAGUGAGGUGCACCAGGCCAGCUCCAACCCCCUGGGCUCCGGACUGGGCUACCUGGAGCACAUCUGCCAGCUCAUUGAGAAGAUUGGGCAGCUCCAGGAACACAACCUAAGGCUGCAGAAGCAAAUCUGUGGGCUGCAAAAGGAUGGAAGGAUGACCAAGACCAAAGAGGACUUCUUCCUGCAGCACUGUAGCUGUGGAACGGCCGGCCUGGCCUUCCAUGAACAGAAAAGACACUCUAGGAGUGAGUUCCUGACCACCUCCGUGAGCGGCACACUCUCUGACCUCUCCACCAUCCCUGAGGUCACACACCACACAGGACUCACAGCCAGGGGAGGUCAGUUAACUACUUAAUAACAUGAUAACAACCCAUAAUCUACAUCCAGGCAUCUCUCCUCACUCAAAAUCCAAUGGAUAUUCCAUAAAUUCUCCAAAAGUAAUUUUGUCCCAGUUUGACUGUAAUCUCAUCAGAUGUUUCCAGCCCAAUCCUUUUGUUUCCCUCAGAAAACCAUAGUGUAUUAUUUCAUUGGCAGGUAGAUUAGCACUUCAUAACCUGCUCCUGCGGUAAUCAUUCAGUCACAAGACCAAUUUAUAGUAAUGUUUGCCCAAAGUUUUCCUGAAAUGGAUUUUCUGGGUUUAUUUAAAAAUCAUUAGGGGUUUUCAAAAUGUGACCGGGCGACGACCCCAGGUGUGAUUUCGCCCAAUGUUCACUUUUUCAUCAUGUUUUUACUGUCCUGUUUUCAGAGUGGCUCACGUUCCCUCAGGUGGGCUGACUAUUAUUAUCUACUUUUAUUUAUUCAGGGAAGACCAAUUGAAACCAGUGUCUCAUUUGUAAUGGUGCCCUGAGGACAGAGAUUCCAUCAACACAACAACAAAAGAUAAGACACAAGAUAGCUAUGAAUACAUUACAUCAGGUUAUUACAACAAGUUAUAAUAGUCCAUUGAAAUGAUUGCACACUUCAGUAAACUAAUUUAACAACAGAGUUUUAAACAUCCUUAUAGGCAUCAGGGAAUCCAGGUGUAAUUUGUUUUGUAAGAUAUUCCGUAACUGUGGUGCGUUAAAACUAAAGGCAGAUUUAAACUUUAUGAAUACAAGCUGGAUCUCAAGAGUUAACGAACACUGCGACAGGACACAAUGUGUGCUCUCUCAUGGUGUCAAGUCUAGUUGCCACUAUAUUACGAAAGGUGUACCGCAAGGGUUGGUAUUGGGACCUGUUCUCUUCACUAUUUACAUAAAUAAUAUUGGUCUAUGCAAUCCUGUAAUAUUCAUCACUAUGCAGACAAUACGGUUAUGUAUGCCAUUGCACUGAGUGUUGUCUGAGCUAUGUUAGAGCUGCAAUCUGAUUUUGUUGCAUUACAGAAAGCCCUCGUUGAUUUAAAACGUGUACUUAAUGCGGGCAAAACUAAAUAUAUGUUGUUCUUUAAUUCACAAAAAAAAUCUCGAAAGGGCUACAUAUUCACUCAUUGGACAGCUCUCUCAUCAAGCGGGUUCCAGCCUACAAAAAUCUGUGCGUUUGGAUUGAUAAAGAUCUAAUGUUCAAAAAAACAUACUGAUGAGGUAGUUAAAUGGAGGGAACAUAUAGAGUCCCAUAGAUUCAGGAAUUUCUUGCUCUUCCGAUAAGCAGGAUUCAGGAAAUUGGAGCUGGGGAGUAGGAGGAUGGCGAAUGGUACUGCGAUAACAGAUUGAGGACGUGGGGAGGUUGAGUGGGCAGUGGCGGCAGGUUGAAAGAAGGGGUUCCUCUGGGACUGCUGAUUCACAUCACCAUGUGUCAUAACAGUUUCCCCCCACUAUGAGCAGCGAGUGGUUCCAACCCUUGUGACUCUAGCCUCAUUUAUACCUGGCGCUAACAUGCGUCCUUUGUCCUGAUCUUGCCCACAUUCUGACUGUGCCCACAUUUUCAGAAAUAUGUCUACACAUGGUAUUAAAAUGUGUCUCACUGUGUUUGCAUUGUGAUCCACUAUUCUUUAAAAAAUGUAAGUAUUUAUUUAUUUUAAGACCCAUAUUGAUGCCAUAAGUCAAAUGGUGCCACCUGUCAAUGAGUUAAGAAGGUGGGAUAAUGAUGAAUUAAACUGUUUCACUGUCCAGGUCCGUCUACACUUGUAAUGUUUCCAGACACAAUGCGUGCCUGACUACCUUCGUAGGUGGUCAGAAAAAUCACAAUCAGAUCACAAUGCGUAUUUUAAUCAUCUCCAGUCUACACUGGUCUGAAAAUGUGGGCACAAUCAGAAUGUGGACAAGAUCAGAACAAAGUAUGCAUGCUAGAACCAGGUAUAAACAGAUCUUCUGAUUCAUUUAUUCUCUCUCUCUAUAGAGAGUGACCAGGGUGGAUGCCAGCCCCUGGUGCCCCUUUGGAAGAGGGGCCUGAAUCGGAUGAGCUACACAGAGGGAGAUACGCGCUCCUAUCUAUCUGACAGUACAGAGGGUCUCUCUGCCCCACACAGACGGCUGAGUGAGAACUACACGUGGGGCAGAGUGAAGGAUCUGGUGAAGAAGACCAAGCUGAGGAACCAGAGCAGACUGGGACAAACAUCCACCUCCCUCAAGAGAUCCUGUCCACAGCUUUACCGCCCUGACCUGGGACCAGUGGACCUACCAGGAAGAAACAGGAACUCCAUGAUCGCCUUGGGCCAUCAGAACAAACUGGACUUCCAGUGGCCCAGAUAACCAUUGUUGAUAUGAAACAGACGGCCCGAAGUGGGAAGAGAAUGCCCGGAAGGUGAAGUUGCACAGAUUCUCGACUGGACUGAGAGAGUAGUGUGUAAGGAGGGAUGUGAGAAAUAACAUUUGUGAUGGAUGACAAAACUUUGAGUGAGGAGUGAAAAGAAAACAAAAAGAGGGAUGGUCAUAGACAUCUCUCUUGAGAUACAAUUCUAAACUAAGGGAUUGUAUUGUUUCAGAUAAGGGAACAUUGGUAUUUAUAUGAGAACAGACAUGCAUGUACUCCACAAUGAACAUGAAUACGAUACAAAUGAUUUAAUCUUGUACUAUAAAUUCAUAUUGUAAUGCUUUCUCUAAAUAUGUGUUAUGUUAGUGACAUUUCAGUACUAUGUGUUGAUGGAGAAAACAACAACUCUUUGACAUGGUUGUUCCAACUAAGAAAUAGCCUAGACAAUAUUCUGGGGUGAAAUUAAAGGGAUAGUUCACCCAAAUUACAAAAUGACAUUGGUUUCCUUACACUGUAAGCCGUCUAUGGACAAGCUAUGGCAGCAAUGCAUCCUUUGGUUUAGUUUCCCUGCCACUGUUUCAACAUGCUAGCAUUUUAGCAUUUGUGGCACAAAUCCCAUUCAAGUCACGGGACCGAUAUUAUUCGCGCAUCAUGCCCAAAUCAAUACAUGAUUUAAAUUCUAGAUAAGAGCGUUUGCUAAAUGACUAAAAUGAAAAUGUAAAUGUAAAAAUCAUUUGAAAGUAUCUAAAGUCGCUUGUCAAACUCAACAAAGUCACAUAGAUUAUUUGAACAUGAUGCUUGAAAAAUAUUAAUUUCGGUCCCAUGACAGGGUAAGGAAACCAAUAUGUAAUUUGGUGUUUGGGUGAACUAAUCGCUUUGGUUAUCAUGCCCCCUUGAACAAAUGUGAAACAUACACAUAUCAUACAUAUUUGAGGAUUGUACUUAACUAUUCAACACAUUUUGUAUGAAUUCUCUUCUUGUUUUGAGUGUAGGCCUAAGAGGCUGUGUGUGCAUGCACUAUACAGGGAUAAUAGAUCGUGGUGAUGUUGUGUGAAUGUGCUGUAUAUAACAAAAGGUAAUUGUGUACAGUCACCGUGUAUGUACAGGAGGGGAGUUAUGCCUCUGUAAAUUCCUAUGUUUAUAUGAUGGAAAUUUACUUUUUUUUUUACUUUUUGGAGAUAGGGGUUCCAGAUCCCUUAUGAUAAAAAAAAAACACUUUGAGGAUGCUAGAAAACGUUUGUGAUGCAUUGCCGCAAGGUUUUUUAAUGUUCCUCUCAAACAUUUAUGUAAAAAAAAAAAACAGCAAAGAAAAAAAACAAUUUCGCAUCACUGCAACAUGUACAGUAUUUUAUCAGAGGCUGCUGUUGCAUAUGUUCAUCUUCAAGGCAUUUUUUAUUUUAUUGUGACAUGCAAGUCUGGUUUGACAAGCUAACGGUGAUUUUAGCUUUUCUACAUCACGGUUACAUUCCCUGGUUUUCCAGAAAUCCUGGUUGGAAUAUUCCCGUAUUUCCUGCUUUUCCCUCGUAAUGCCAUGAAUCUUCCCAACAGGCUUCCUUGAAAAAUUGGGAAUUUUGGGAAAGCUACUGGAAUUUUGCAACCUUAGUUACGUCACUAUGAGCUUCCUUUGAUAACAGACAGGCAAGUGCCAUGGUACCUUGGAAAUCUCACUGGGUAAAACUACAGAAGGAAGGUUCAACACAGAAGCUUUGAAAAGGAUGAUUACAAUGGCUUCAAAGCCUGGACAUCUAAUUGAAAUACAGCAGAGGUCAAUUCCAAAUGCUCAAAACUGUCCAGUGUUGUUUACAACAGGAAUGGAGGUCAUCACAUUUUUAGAAAAUACUAAUCCCACAGAAAGAACAAAACAGUUAGUUAUCCAAGUAUGUACUUCAGCAAUGUGAACAACAGUAUAGUACAACACCAAUGAGUUAUUCAUCAUGGUCAACGUGUACUCCUAUUAAAAUAAUAAUGUACUCUGUAGUACUGUACACGUAGCACAGCUGUGGCUGUAUCAUACGGAAUUCAUGUACUUCUAAAUACUCUAAUCAAGUAGAAAAUACAUCUGUUGCAACUUGAGAGGCAGUAAAUGCUGUCAAUAUGCAUGAUAGGCCUACAUGUUUUGUCAGGACUGGGAUCUAAAGACUAAAGAUUGUUAUAUCUGUAUAUUGUAGAGUCACAGUAAGUUGUACAUGGAUGGAAUAUCUCAAUAUGUGUAAUGUAUCAUUAUUCAAAGUUAUUUUUCGAAAUAAAGUUGACAUUUUCAAUGACA
Oncorhynchus tshawytscha (Chinook salmon) is the source of this 6252-nucleotide long non-coding RNA. NCBI's taxonomy places the organism in Eukaryota, Metazoa, Chordata, Actinopteri, Salmoniformes, Salmonidae. The record is from Ensembl.